This 253-nucleotide ribosomal RNA is filed under the name uncultured bacterium. RNAcentral's name for it is "partial 16S ribosomal RNA". It matches the Rfam family "Bacterial small subunit ribosomal RNA", at positions 524 to 776 of the family's 1533-position model. The record is from RNAcentral.
UACAGAGGUCUCAAGCGUUGUUCGGAUUCAUUGGGCGUAAAGGGUGCGUAGGCCGCACGGUAAGUCAGAGGUGAAAUCCCGGAGCUCAACUUCGGAAUUGCCUCCGAUACUGCCGUGCUUGAGGACUGGAGAGGAGAUUGGAAUUCACAGUGGAGCAGUGAAAUGCGUAGAUAUUGUGAGGAACACUAGUGGCGAAGGCGAAUCUCUGGACAGUUCCUGACGCUGAGGCACGAAGGCCAGGGGAGCAAACGGG